RNAcentral lists this ribosomal RNA (518 nucleotides) under uncultured delta proteobacterium. RNAcentral describes it as "bacterial SSU rRNA". It matches the Rfam family "Bacterial small subunit ribosomal RNA", at positions 31 to 523 of the family's 1533-position model. The record is from RNAcentral. Lineage: Bacteria; Deltaproteobacteria.
GAACGCUGGCGGCGUGCCUAACACAUGCAAGUCGCGCGGGAAAGUUCCCUUCGGGGAGCGAGUAUAGCGGCGCACGGGUGAGUAAUACGUAGGUAACCUGCCCUCGAGACCGGGACAACCUGUCGAAAGACGGGCUAAUACCGGAUAAGACCACGAGAGCUGCGGCUCUUGGGGUAAAAGGUGGCCUCUGCUUGCAAGCUAUCACUUGAGGAUGGGCCUGCGCGCCAUUAGCUAGUUGGUGAGGUAACGGCUCACCAAGGCAGAGAUGGCUAGCUGGUCUGAGAGGAUGACCAGCCACACUGGGACUGAGACACGGCCCAGACUCCUACGGGAGGCAGCAGUGGGGAAUAUUGCGCAAUGGGCGAAAGCCUGACGCAGCGACGCCGCGUGGGUGAUGAAGGCCUUCGGGUCGUAAAGCCCUGUCGGGAGGGACGAAACAUCGGCGACUUAAUACGUCGUCGACCUGACGGUACCUCCUAAGGAAGCACCGGCUAACUCCGUGCCAGCAGCCGCGGUAA